CCGCGCUUGUUUUGUCGAGGGGUAAAGGCGCUUGGUGAUUUUUGCGGUUGCGACUGUUCUACGUUAAACUACCUUGUUGUUAUCAAAACGACUAAUCUUCCAAAUCAACCUGGAGAAGGGGUUGAAGAAAAUGGGAGCAGUGAAGCGAACAACGGCCCAUCGCAAGAUUUUAGCGCUGCUGAAGGGCUUCAAAUGAGUCUCCACAGAAAUCCCUUGAAUCUGUAUGUUUUUUUAUGAAAAUACAGUUUGCACCUCAAGACAUCGAGCAAUGUUUGAUGAUUUAACCAUUUG
RNAcentral lists this long non-coding RNA (291 nucleotides) under Ixodes scapularis (black-legged tick). RNAcentral describes it as "uncharacterized LOC115327792". The record is from RNAcentral. Lineage: Eukaryota; Metazoa; Arthropoda; Arachnida; Ixodida; Ixodidae.